RNAcentral lists this transfer RNA (71 nucleotides) under Dipodomys ordii (Ord's kangaroo rat). It matches the Rfam family "tRNA". Rfam says of the family: Transfer RNA (tRNA) molecules are approximately 80 nucleotides in length. Their secondary structure includes four short double-helical elements and three loops (D, anti-codon, and T loops). The record is from Rfam by way of RNAcentral. Lineage: Eukaryota; Metazoa; Chordata; Mammalia; Rodentia; Heteromyidae.
GGGAAUGUGGCUUAAUGGUAGAGUGCUUGCCUAGCAUGCAUGAAGUCCUGGGUUCAAUUCCCAGUGGCUCA